UGCUUACACUUGAUCUCUGAACUUCUGGUGAGCUCACCUGUUGAGAAGUAUAUCUGCUGAUGCG
Small nucleolar RNA from Gossypium raimondii (Peruvian cotton), 64 nucleotides. It matches the Rfam family "Small nucleolar RNA snoR101". NCBI's taxonomy places the organism in Eukaryota, Viridiplantae, Streptophyta, Magnoliopsida, Malvales, Malvaceae. The record is from Rfam.